CCACACAUCUACUACUGCUCCGCCAUCUCACCUUCCCCUCUUCUUUCCCAUCUCGACACAACGAUCGCGAUGUUGUCGUCAUCGAGCCCGCGCCUAUCAAUUCCACACACUUCAUCUCGGCACUUGGGAAGCUAUCGACAUGACUGUCGGUGUCACGACGAGAGUAGGUGCUUUCAAUUUAGUCGGGGGCUAAGAUUUCCGUGUGGGAGAUUGCGUGGGAUGCUGAUGUGUUAGAUUGUGUGAG
Molecule: long non-coding RNA, 244 nt
Filed under: Daucus carota (carrot)
Lineage: Eukaryota; Viridiplantae; Streptophyta; Magnoliopsida; Apiales; Apiaceae
Description: long non-coding RNA (DCAR_LNC005876)
Source: RNAcentral